This 843-nucleotide ribosomal RNA is filed under the name Hongkongmyces thailandicus. Its description in RNAcentral is "SSU rRNA". It matches the Rfam family "Eukaryotic small subunit ribosomal RNA", at positions 181 to 1032 of the family's 1831-position model. The record is from RNAcentral. Lineage: Eukaryota; Fungi; Ascomycota; Dothideomycetes; Pleosporales; Lindgomycetaceae.
CCCCAACUUCGGGAGGGGUGUAUUUAUUAGAUAAAAAACCAAUGCCCUUCGGGGCUCUUUGGUGAUUCAUGAUAACUUAACGGAUCGCAUGGCCUUGCGCCGGCGACGGUUCAUUCAAAUUUCUGCCCUAUCAACUUUCGAUGGUAAGGUAUUGGCUUACCAUGGUUUCAACGGGUAACGGGGAAUUAGGGUUCGAUUCCGGAGAGGGAGCCUGAGAAACGGCUACCACAUCCAAGGAAGGCAGCAGGCGCGCAAAUUACCCAAUCCCGACACGGGGAGGUAGUGACAAUAAAUACUGAUACAGGGCUCUUUUGGGUCUUGUAAUUGGAAUGAGUACAAUUUAAACCCCUUAACGAGGAACAAUUGGAGGGCAAGUCUGGUGCCAGCAGCCGCGGUAAUUCCAGCUCCAAUAGCGUAUAUUAAAGUUGUUGCAGUUAAAAAGCUCGUAGUUGAAACUUGGGCCUGGCUGGCCGGUCCGCCUCACCGCGUGUACUGGUCCGGCCGGGCCUUUCCUUCUGGAGAGCCUCAUGCCCUUCACUGGGUGUGUUGGGGAACCAGGACUUUUACUUUGAAAAAAUUAGAGUGUUCAAAGCAGGCCUUUGCUCGAAUACGUUAGCAUGGAAUAAUAGAAUAGGACGUGCGAUCCUAUUUUGUUGGUUUCUAGGACCGCCGUAAUGAUUAAUAGGGAUAGUCGGGGGCAUCAGUAUUCAAUUGUCAGAGGUGAAAUUCUUGGAUUUAUUGAAGACUAACUACUGCGAAAGCAUUUGCCAAGGAUGUUUUCAUUAAUCAGUGAACGAAAGUUAGGGGAUCGAAGACGAUCAGAUACCGUCGUAAUCUUAACCG